AUACGGAGGGGGUUAGCGUUGUUCGGAAUUACUGGGCGUAAAGCGCGCGUAGGCGGACUGAUCAGUUGGGGGUGAAAUCCCAGGGCUUAACCCUGGAACUGCCUCCAAUACUGUCAGUCUUGAGUUCGGGAGAGGUGAGUGGAAUUCCUAGUGUAGAGGUGAAAUUCGUAGAUAUUAGGAAGAACACCAGUGGCGAAGGCGGCUCACUGGCCCGAUACUGACGCUGAGGCGCGAAAGCGUGGGGAGCAAACAGGAUUAGAAACCCUAGUAGUCC
RNAcentral lists this ribosomal RNA (274 nucleotides) under uncultured bacterium. RNAcentral's name for it is "partial 16S ribosomal RNA". It matches the Rfam family "Bacterial small subunit ribosomal RNA", at positions 523 to 796 of the family's 1533-position model. The record is from RNAcentral.